This 72-nucleotide transfer RNA is filed under the name Camelus bactrianus (Bactrian camel). It matches the Rfam family "tRNA". From Rfam's summary of the family: Transfer RNA (tRNA) molecules are approximately 80 nucleotides in length. The record is from Rfam by way of RNAcentral. RNAcentral also lists the same sequence under 2 other names. Lineage: Eukaryota; Metazoa; Chordata; Mammalia; Artiodactyla; Camelidae.
GAGGGUAUAGCUCAGUGGUAGAAUACGUGCUGAGCGUGCACGAGGUCCUGGGUUCAAUCCCCAGUACUUCCA